RNAcentral lists this non-coding RNA (1247 nucleotides) under Conidiobolus coronatus NRRL 28638. RNAcentral's name for it is "Eukaryotic large subunit ribosomal RNA". The stretch from base 306 to 1247 matches the Rfam family "Eukaryotic large subunit ribosomal RNA", at positions 1890 to 2796 of the family's 3401-position model. Lineage: Eukaryota; Fungi; Entomophthoromycota; Entomophthoromycetes; Entomophthorales; Conidiobolaceae. The record is from Rfam by way of RNAcentral.
AUAAGUAGGCUAAUAUCAUAUAUAGUUAUUAAAUAAAAGAGAAAAUUUGAUAUCAUUAUAUUAAAAUACUAUAUUAUCUACUUAAACUAAUAAAAAAUAUUAUUUAAUAUACUUAUAUUACUAAAUCAAAAUAUUAUAAAUUUCCUAUAUAAAAUUUUUAAUUUAAGUUUCCUUGUUUUAACUAGAACCUGUCAUAUAGUUUUUUUAUCCUUAUAAAAGCUAUUAAGAAUGUAAGGGAGUUAUAUUUUCACAUGCAGCUAUACCUAUAACUGCAGCAGGUCUCUAAGGUAAACAGCCUCUAGUUAAUAAAAUAAUAUAGAUAAGGGAAGUUAGCAAAAUAGAUCAGUAACUUUAGGAAAAGGAUUGGCUCUGAGGGUUAGGUAUUAGGGGUACUUAGUGAAAAGGUAACUAAUAUAGCUGUUAGUAAUGAUAGCUUAAUUGGUUUAAUUAAAUCUGAGACUAUCCCUUUUACAAUUAAUAACCAACUUAGAACUAGUAUAGAUAAGGGGAAUCUGACUAUCUAAUUAAAACAUAGUAUUAUGAUGGUUAUAACUUAAUGUUGAUACAAUAUGAUUUCUGCCCAGUGCUCUAAAUGUUAAAGUGAAGAAAUUUAACUAAGCAUAGGUAAAUGGUAAGAGUAACUAUGACUCUUAUAAGGUAGCUAAAUGCCUUAUUAUCUAAUUAGUGAUAUACAUGAAUAAGUUAAUGAGAUUCCCACUAUCCCUAUCUACUAUUUAGCAAAAUUACAGCUAAGGGAAUAGGCUUAGAAAGGUUAGAGGGGAAAGAAGACCCUAUUAAGCUUAACUUUAGUUUAACACUGUAAAAAGACAUAGAGGGUGUAGUAUAAGUAGGAGAACUUGUUCAAACUUAAAAUACUACUACCUUCAUUAUUUUUUUACUUAUAGGAUUAAAUAAAGUUAGUUUUACUAUAUAUUAGUGUUAAAUAUCUUUAAAUAUAAUUUACAUUAUUGAUACUAUUAGGUGGGGAGUUUAGCUAGGGUGGCACAUUUGUUAAAUAAUAAUAUAAGUAUAAAUAAGAGUUUAUAAAGAGUAAAAAUCUAUAGAUAAUAAAAAGGAAGAGCAUUCUUAAUUUUAAUUUUUAGUUUUUUAAACUAAAAGUUCAAAUAUUAAUAUGUUUUUUCUUAUUUCAUUCUUUAAAUCAAGUUGUAUAAUUGGUUAGUCUAUAUUCUCUUGCAUAUUAAUAUAUAAUAAUUUGCAAAUUCUUUAAUCAUAACUGAUUAAUCUCU